AAUAAAAGAGUCGUCUCUUUCGAAGACGCUGACCCUAAACAGACUCCUUUCUUUCACUUCCGUCUCCAACAAUGUUUUUUCCGUCACAGCCUCCUUCCAUUUGGUCACCUCCACCCCAAUCACAGUCGUCUCUGUCAGUUCAAGUGGAACCCUAAAUCCGAUUUCACCUCUGUCAAAUCCACUUUUAAAUCGAAGAUAUUGAAUGUGCUUAAGGAGCUGCACACACUCAAGGGGCAUGUGGAAUCAGUAGUGGGUCUAGUUACAAAGUCAUUGUCUCCAGCUUCUUUAUCGAAACUUUCUAGAAUCUGAAUUGGAUUGAAAGCAGACUUGUAACAGUGGUUGGACUGUUCGAGGAAGAUAGCUUCUGUAGCAAGAAGCAGCUCCAUGCAAAUUCUUGGGCAGACAGGCUUCUUGAAAUUGGUGUAGAUUACAAUGGUUUCUGAUAAUGUUUGUGGGUCUAGUUACUAAGUUGAGAAGCAGUGAUUUAGUUUUUUCCUUUCCAGUCACUUAUGUUUUGUGUUUGGUCCAUUAGUAAACUUUCAAGUAGUGAAAAAAAGUUAAAAGCUUGGUAUGUACUCAGUUUUGACAAUGGAAUUUUAUUACAAUUCAAGUUUAGGUUAGUUUUGUGUGUU
Long non-coding RNA from Raphanus sativus (radish), 632 nucleotides. RefSeq lists it as uncharacterized. The transcript has 2 exons. NCBI's taxonomy places the organism in Eukaryota, Viridiplantae, Streptophyta, Magnoliopsida, Brassicales, Brassicaceae. The record is from RefSeq and is a predicted model, not a curated record.